AAGUGAAAGGUAUGAACGAAAGCGGCUGAGCGAUGGCGACUGAAAGGAAUCACGAGGAUAGACGAACGAGGAUGACGAGAGGGAAGCACGAAGGUUCGUCGGUCGACUCGCAAGCCGAGAUGGUCUCCGGGGUUCGAUUAGACCGAAGAAGAAGAUAGGAAGGAGCAGCGGGGCUGCGCUCUAUCUCCUCCGGCAGCGACAUGCGAAGUCCGGGCGUCACAAGCAGCGGUAGCAACAAAGAUGAGACCUUCGGCGGUCUGUGGCAAUGGGAACACCAGAGAAAGAAAACGAAGGGAAAGGGGGUCUCCGGUGAGGUGUCGCGAGGAGCAGCAGUGACGAAUACGAGGUCUUCGGUGCCAUUUGCUCUACGGAAGAAAAAGCGGAGUGCAAGAGCUUGGUCAUCAAUGGUGGAAACCGGAUGAUGAUGCAGGCAGAAUAAUCGAUGAAGGGGGUGUUUGGGUUUCUUUCAUUUAACAGAGAAGUGAAGGAGAAGAAGGGUGAAGAACAACAACAAAACCUUUAGGGUGUUUGGGUGUUACUGUGAAAUCAAUGGGAAAGAAGAAGGAUCGAAAGAGGGUUGUCGCCCUCUUGGAUGUGUCCCUGGCAGCAAUAGAAGGACAAAUUCAAGAGGUGUAUUGGAUUUUAAUUUGCAACUAAAGUUGUAUAGUGUAUUGGUUCAAUCUUUUUUUUUCUUUUUUAUUUUUGGGUUUCAUAAUGUGUGUAAUGUGUGUUUAUUGAUGUAUGUUUUCAACUGGGUAUGUAUUUUAUAUA
This is a long non-coding RNA of Lactuca sativa (garden lettuce), 771 nucleotides long. RefSeq lists it as uncharacterized. The record is from RefSeq and is a predicted model, not a curated record. NCBI's taxonomy places the organism in Eukaryota, Viridiplantae, Streptophyta, Magnoliopsida, Asterales, Asteraceae.